CAGCCGCCGCGGUAAUACGAAGGGUGCAAGCGUUACUCGGAAUUACUGGGCGUAAAGCGUGCGUAGGCGGUUUGUUAAGUCUGCUGUGAAAUCCCCCGGCUCAACCGGGGAAGUGGAGCCGAAACGACCCGUCUGGAGGGACGUAGGGGGACCUGGAACUUCCGGUGGAGCGGUGAAAUGCGUUGAGAUCGGAAGGAACGCCCGUGGCGAAAGCGAGGUCCUGGACGUCUGCUGACGCUGAGACGCGAAAGCCAGGGGAGCGAACGGGAUUAGAUACCCCAGUAGUCCCUGUCUCUUAUAC
This 301-nucleotide ribosomal RNA is filed under the name uncultured bacterium. RNAcentral's name for it is "partial 16S ribosomal RNA". It matches the Rfam family "Bacterial small subunit ribosomal RNA", at positions 509 to 807 of the family's 1533-position model. The record is from RNAcentral.